RNAcentral lists this ribosomal RNA (374 nucleotides) under uncultured organism. Its description in RNAcentral is "partial 16S ribosomal RNA". It matches the Rfam family "Bacterial small subunit ribosomal RNA", at positions 527 to 896 of the family's 1533-position model. The record is from RNAcentral.
AGAGGGUGCGAGCGUUAAUCGGGAUUUACUGGGGCGUAAAGGGCGCGUAGGUGGCUGUUUAAGUUAGAUGUGAAAGCCCUAGGGCUCAACCUGGGGAACUGCAUUUAAAACUGGGCAGCUAGAGGCUAGUAGAGGGGAGUGGAAUUUCCGGUGUAGCGGUGAAAUGCGUAGAUAUCGGAAGGAACACCAGUGGCGAAGGCGACUCUCUGGACUAGUACUGACACUGAGGCGCGAAGGCGUGGGGAGCAAACAGGAUUAGAGACCCUGGUAGUCCACGCAGUAAACGAUGAAAACUAGCUGUUGGUGUGCAUGACACAUCAGUGGCGAAGCUAACGCGAUAAGUUUUCCGCCUGGGGAGUACGGCCGCAAGGCUA